AUACGGAGGGAGCGAGCGUUAAUCGGAAUUACUGGGCGUAAAGCGCGCGUAGGCGGCUUUGUAAGUCGGAUGUGAAAGCCCCGGGCUCAACCUGGGAACUGCAUUCGAAACUGGCAGGCUAGAGUAUAGUAGAGGCAAGUGGAAUUCCGGGUGUAGCGGUGAAAUGCGUAGAUAUCCGGAGGAACAUCAGUGGCGAAGGCGACUUGCUGGACUAAUACUGACGCUGAGGAGCGAAAGCGUGGGGAGCAAACGGGAUUAGAAACCCCAGUAGUCC
This 274-nucleotide ribosomal RNA is filed under the name uncultured bacterium. RNAcentral describes it as "partial 16S ribosomal RNA". It matches the Rfam family "Bacterial small subunit ribosomal RNA", at positions 523 to 796 of the family's 1533-position model. The record is from RNAcentral.